AGCUCCCGCAUCAGCCACAACAUGCUCCACCAUGGUAGCAGACAUCUUGAAAUCCUGCGCAUCCAAUCAAACGCAGGAAGUACGUCACUUCUCGCGUUCUUCCGGGAAACCUGAAGCUGUUCAUUUGGGAUCCAAGAACUUAUUGCUGAUUAUUACAACCAAUUCAGGAUGAGGGUCUCCACAGGGGCAGUACCAUCAAGCUGGGACAAGGUCAAGAUUGGCUUCAUUGCAUGGUGCACUGUCUCCAAGACACUAUUUUCUCUUGACAUGAACUUGUUCACUAAGUUUGCUGAACUAGAGUGGAGAGGGCCCAGAAUGAGAUCUGUGCAAGGCAACCAUCCAUUAUGACACUCAUGACACCCUACCCAGAAUCUUGUGGUCCCUACUUGUCUAUGCAGUCCCACUCUCAACCAAAGAGACCUUGGAGAGAAAGGUCAGUAGUCAUCUCAGGAGAUGGCUGGGGCUGCCAAAGAGCCUGAACAGCAUUGCAUGCUACAGUCCUAACAACAAACUUCAACUGUCCUUCAAAUCCUUGGAGGAAGAAUUCAAGAUAUUAAGAGCAGAAAAGUGGUACAGCAGAGAGAUUCAUGUGUUCAGAUGAUGGCUAACCUGUAGUUGAGGGGGAGGUGAGAGCAGCAGUGGAGGAGAAGAUGUUGAGAGGAAAAUGACUUAGUCCGAGCUCUGGAAAGCCGAGCCUCACCACAUUGGAUUUCUCAUUCAGACAGUAUACAAUGUGCUUCCAAGCCCAUCAAAUCUGCACACUUAUGGCAUUACAGACACCAGCAUGCCCAAUGUGUUCCAAGUGAGGGACCCUAGAACACAUUAUAAGCAGAUGUACGAGGGCACUUGGAGAGGGAAGGUAUCAAUGGAGGUACAAUCAGGAUCUGAGGACCAUCGCGGAAGCAAUCAGCAAAGGACUUGAAUGGUCAAAGCGGUGCCGACCCUCAAAGAUUAUCAUAUCUUCAUCAGAACUGGAGAGCAGCCAAAUCCUGCCAAGAGAUCAUCAUCUGCAGGAUUUUUUUUGCAUUAGUAAGAGACUGGCAGUUGUUGGUGGAACUAGAUUAGUUAAUUAUUUGUUUAAUUGUUGAAUGUCUGAGUGAUUCGUUUUUCUUUAAUUGUGUUUAUUUAUUUUCGCAGUCCAUACGUCACUUUUACCUGUGGCUGGAGGGGUUUGUAAUCGGAAGGGAUACAUCUGUUUAUUUUUUUAAUUUAUAUUCUUUCGGAUGUUGCUUUUUUGGUGUGUGAUACCCCGUAAUUAUGAAAGUUAAUCCGCAUUUCUGUUGUUGAAGUGCUGUCACGAGUGUUUAUUAUUUUCUUGCAUAAUUAUCCCCUCUGUGAUAUGGAUUAAUCCAUAUCCCUGGUUCAAGGGGCAAGAAACCCUAUUUUUCUUUCCUUUCAACACAUGGCGCGCGGGUGUAAGGUAUGUGUGGUCUGCUCCCUAAUUUUCUUUGCUUUUUAUUUUAUAUGUAUACAUUUGUAAUCUCUCUGUUCAGGAAUAAACUCAUAACUGUUGA
Molecule: long non-coding RNA, 1514 nt
Organism: Paramormyrops kingsleyae
Lineage: Eukaryota; Metazoa; Chordata; Actinopteri; Osteoglossiformes; Mormyridae
Source: RefSeq, a predicted model, not a curated record